Molecule: ribosomal RNA, 469 nt
Filed under: uncultured bacterium
Lineage: Bacteria
Description: partial 16S ribosomal RNA
Rfam family: Bacterial small subunit ribosomal RNA
Source: RNAcentral
GACGAACGCUGGCGGCGUGCUUAACACAUGCAAGUCGAACGAUGAAGCCUUAGCUUGCUUUGGUGGAUUAGUGGCGAACGGGUGAGUAACACGUGAGCAACGUGCCCAGGACUCUGGAAUAACCGCGGGAAACCGUGGCUAAUACCGGAUAGGUGCCGAGGCCGCAUGGUCUUCGGUUGGAAAGUUUUUGCGGUUCUGGAUCGGCUCACGGCCUAUCAGCUUGUUGGUGGGGUAAUGGCCUACCAAGGCGACGACGGGUAGCCGGCCUGAGAGGGUGACCGGCCACACUGGGACUGAGACACGGCCCAGACUCCUACGGGAGGCAGCAGUGGGGAAUAUUGCACAAUGGGCGCAAGCCUGAUGCAGCAACGCCGCGUGGGGGAUGACGGCCUUCGAGUUGUAAACCUCUUUUAGUAGGGAAGAAGCGCAAGUGACGGUACCUGCAGAAAAAGCACCGGCUAACUACGUG